Molecule: small nucleolar RNA, 136 nt
Organism: Grammomys surdaster
Lineage: Eukaryota; Metazoa; Chordata; Mammalia; Rodentia; Muridae
Product: small nucleolar RNA SNORA17
Exons: 1
Source: RefSeq, a predicted model, not a curated record
UUGGUCUAAAUAAGAAAUAGUUGUUUGUGUGGCUGCUUUGUCACAUGUGUGCCAGUAGGUGGCAGAGAGAAGAGAGGCUGUGUCAAUGCUCAGUAUACUGACCUAUGAACAUAUGAGCGAUUAGUAGCCUAACAUU